UGGGGAAUAUUGCACAAUGGGCGCAAGCCUGAUGCAGCCAUGCCGCGUGUAUGAAGAAGGCCUUCGGGUUGUAAAGUACUUUCAGCGGGGAGGAAGGGAGUAAAGUUAAUACCUUUGCUCAUUGACGUUACCCGCAGAAGAAGCACCGGCUAACUCCGUGCCAGCAGCCGCGGUAAUACGGAGGGUGCAAGCGUUAAUCGGAAUUACUGGGCGGAAAGCGCACGCAGGCGGUUGAUUGAGUCAGAUGUGAAAUCCCCGGGCUUAACCCGGGAAUUGCAUCUGAUACUGGUCAGCUAGAGUCUUGUAGAGGGGGGUAGAAUUCCAUGUGUAGCGGUGAAAUGCGUAGAGAUGUGGAGGAAUACCGGUGGCGAAGGCGGCCCCCUGGACAAAGACUGACGCUCAGGUGCGAAAGCGUGGGGAGCAAACAGG
Molecule: ribosomal RNA, 429 nt
Filed under: Chloroflexota bacterium
Lineage: Bacteria; Bacillati; Chloroflexota
Description: Chloroflexi bacterium partial 16S ribosomal RNA
Rfam family: Bacterial small subunit ribosomal RNA
Source: RNAcentral